CAAAGCCCAAGGUUCAAUCCUUAGUGCUACAAAGGAGAUAAACAAAAAAGAAGAAAUCUGUCCACUGAGUUUUCUCUCAUGCCUCCCAAUUAUUUGUUUUGAUGUUACAUGUUUUUAUUCUUUUAACGAUUUUUCAUAACUGUAUAUUGGAAUACUGUUUUUCUAAUUGCUUCUCUAAAGGCUUUCUCAGAUCCAUGUCCUGGUAUCCACUGAUCAUCUUUUUCCCAUGUGAACACCUCACUGAGUUGUUCCCUGUUCUUCAUAUAUUAUCCACUCCCUUUAGAUUGUAUCCUGUUCAAACACCAAGGAAGAAGAUGAUUUUUGUGUUGGUGAAGUUCAGGUUGCAGGUGCUGAGAAUCUGUUACAAACAUGCUGAGAGCUGCCAUAGGCAUAUACAGCAGGCGUUCCCGGCUAGCAGCCGACCUGCUGCAGCUGAGCUGCUCAGAACCAUCCACCCAGCCCGGAGACAGUUUCUAGCUGCCUAGAGACAGGGUUUCUCUGUGGCUUUGGAGAAGAAAACAUUUUUUAUACUACCAAACAGUGGGCUGCAUGGUACGUCCAUAAAGACCAGUUGUAUAUUUGGUACCCUUGGAAGCUGGAAGAGGGCACUGGAUCUCCUGGAAUUGGAGUUGUGAUGAUUGUAGCUGCUAUAUGGGUGCUGGGAAUUGAAACUGGGACAUCUGGAAGUGAAGCCAGAGCACUUAACUCUUAAACCACUUCUCCACUCUGAUAAUUAAUUUUAAUUACUAGUUUGCUAAGGCAAUGGUUGAGAAUACUGUUCAGCACACUCUGGAAAAUCAAAGAAUCAUCUGUAUUGAGGAGUUUAAGAUGUUUAUUUGUUCUUAUGUGCAUUUAUCUAUAUGUGUUACAUGAACAUUUGUGAGUGUGUGAGAAAUUUAAAUCAUUAAAUCAGGACUACAGGUUAUCAUUGUGGUGAUAUAUUCCCAGAGUGUUGAGUGUUCUUUAUUAAGUUAUUUUAAAUAACAAUACUGGUAAAGAUCAUUAACAAAAAUUUUCACAUUGUCAAGAAUAUUUAUAUCAACAAUCUCAUUUUUGUCCUUGUGGUAGCUCUGACAUUUGGAUACUAGUUUUAAUAUAACUUGACAAAUUAUAAUUGUAUCUAUUUAAGUUAUAUAUAGUGAUAUGAAAAUAAAACAUGUAUGCCUUGUGGAAUUAUUAAAUCAGGCUAAUAUUGUGAGCAUGGGUGAUAAAUUCAAUCUACAAAUAACUUCUAUAUUUAUUUUGUAAUAUAAUCAUAUCAAAACUUGUAAAGUGUAUAGUUAUUUUGACCUUUA
RNAcentral lists this long non-coding RNA (1295 nucleotides) under Cricetulus griseus (Chinese hamster). Its description in RNAcentral is "lncRNA (ENSCGRG00015035388.1)". The record is from RNAcentral. Lineage: Eukaryota; Metazoa; Chordata; Mammalia; Rodentia; Cricetidae.